CUUGACGACCAUAGAACAUUGGAACCACCUGAUCCCAUCCCGAACUCAGCAGUGAAACGAUGUAUCGCCGAUGG
This 74-nucleotide ribosomal RNA is filed under the name Pseudomonas syringae pv. actinidiae. The record is from RNAcentral. Lineage: Bacteria; Pseudomonadati; Pseudomonadota; Gammaproteobacteria; Pseudomonadales; Pseudomonadaceae. RNAcentral also lists the same sequence under 1 other name.